UACGUAGGGGGCAAGCGUUGUCCGGAUUUAUUGGGCGUAAAGAGCGUGUAGGCGGCCAGAUAGGUCCGUCGUGAAAACUCGAGGCUCAACCUCGAGACGCCGAUGGAAACCAUUUGGCUAGAGUCCGGAAGAGGAGAGUGGAAUUCCUGGUGUAGCGGUGAAAUGCGCAGAUAUCAGGAAGAACACCCGUGGCUAAGGCGGCUCUCUAGUACGGUACUGACGCUGAGACGCGAAAGCGUGGGGAGCGAACAGG
This 253-nucleotide ribosomal RNA is filed under the name uncultured bacterium. Its description in RNAcentral is "partial 16S ribosomal RNA". It matches the Rfam family "Bacterial small subunit ribosomal RNA", at positions 524 to 776 of the family's 1533-position model. The record is from RNAcentral.